This 255-nucleotide ribosomal RNA is filed under the name uncultured bacterium. RNAcentral describes it as "partial 16S ribosomal RNA". It matches the Rfam family "Bacterial small subunit ribosomal RNA", at positions 524 to 776 of the family's 1533-position model. The record is from RNAcentral.
UACGUAGGGGGCUAGCGUUGUCCGGAAUCAUUGGGCGUAAAGAGCGUGUAGGCGGUCCGGUAAGUCCGCUGUGAAAGUCGGGGGCUCAACCCUCGAAAUGCCGGUGGAUACUGUCGGGCUAGAGUGCGGAAGAGGCGAGUGGAAUUCCGUGGUGUAGCGGUGAAAUGCGCAGAUAUCAGGAGGAACACCUAUUGCGAAGGCAGCUCGCUGGGACGUAACUGACGCUGAGACGCGAAAGCGUGGGGAGCAAACAGG